UUCUUUUUGUUAAUAUUCUAAUAAAAAGCUAUGUCGUUGUUUGGUUGGAUCCGGAGUCCAGAGAUCGUAUGGUGAAUAGUAUAAUGUGUUUCCGAUUUAGAAUAAUGUGUGUUUAGUUACAAAACUCCAAAACUAUGUUGUUUUCUUUUGAGAACUGGCUUUCAAACCAAAACUAUAUUGUUUGCCUUAAUUACCAUGUUUAUGUCGUUAGAUCCAAAUCCAUUAAUUUGUAACCCGAUGACAUAAAUAAACAAAAUUUCUGACCAAGCCAUUUCCAUGAACGUAUUUAUCAAAAAAGUCUAAGAAAGUAAUUUUGGUUUUAUAUGCCCUUUUUCAAAAAAAAAAAAAAAUUGGUUUUAUAAGUAUGGAAGGAAAUGGUAUUCACGUGUAUUCUUGUCUAUAGAGUAAUUGUCAUGCGUGAGCGUGCGUGUCGACGCCGGAGUCCGUCGUCCUUCAGUUUAAUAGUUUCAGAAUUAUCUUCUCCUCAUCUCCUUUAGUGGCCGCCUUGUCUGACCUCUGGCCAAACACCCACCGUGGUGGUUCUGAUCUUGGAGUGAAGACGCGGUUACUUGGAGGGUUGGCGCGGUGAAGAUGAUAGUUGGUUGGGUCCUGUUUCCGGGAGGUGGAGGCUUCCACAGCUUCGCCGCCGCCGGUUCUUGUCGCCGCGAGGUGGAAGCUUCUUCAGUUUCGCCGUAGUCGAUUCUAGUCGCCGGG
RNAcentral lists this long non-coding RNA (714 nucleotides) under Brassica rapa (field mustard). RNAcentral describes it as "long non-coding RNA (BRAP_LNC006280)". Lineage: Eukaryota; Viridiplantae; Streptophyta; Magnoliopsida; Brassicales; Brassicaceae. The record is from RNAcentral.